RNAcentral lists this ribosomal RNA (130 nucleotides) under Staphylococcus aureus. RNAcentral's name for it is "partial 23S ribosomal RNA". It matches the Rfam family "Bacterial large subunit ribosomal RNA", at positions 2793 to 2925 of the family's 2925-position model. Lineage: Bacteria; Bacillati; Bacillota; Bacilli; Caryophanales; Staphylococcaceae. RNAcentral also lists the same sequence under 1 other name. The record is from RNAcentral.
CCCCCCUCAAGAUGAGAUUUCCCAACUUCGGUUAUAAGAUCCCUCAAAGAUGAUGAGGUUAAUAGGUUCGAGGUGGAAGCAUGGUGACAUGUGGAGCUGACGAAUACUAAUCGAUCGAAGACUUAAUCAA